GCAUCGCUUAGUCGUGUCCG
RNAcentral lists this unclassified non-coding RNA (20 nucleotides) under Dictyostelium discoideum. Lineage: Eukaryota; Evosea; Eumycetozoa; Dictyosteliales; Dictyosteliaceae. The record is from RNAcentral.